This 248-nucleotide unclassified non-coding RNA is filed under the name Glomeraceae sp. Its description in RNAcentral is "partial contains 5.8S ribosomal RNA and internal transcribed spacer 2". The stretch from base 1 to 71 matches the Rfam family "5.8S ribosomal RNA", at positions 84 to 154 of the family's 154-position model. The record is from RNAcentral. Lineage: Eukaryota; Fungi; Glomeromycota; Glomeromycetes; Glomerales; Glomeraceae.
GUGAAUCAUCAAAUCUUUGAACGCACAUUGCACUUCCUGGCAACCCGGGAAGUAUGCCUGUUUGAGGGUCAGUAUUAACAAAAAAUCGGUUUGGUUGCGAAUUAUGACGUUUCCUGGGUCUGAGCGAUCUUAACUUGUUUGGUUGAGGGGCUUAAAAUUGACCUUAUUUGCGCAUUUUUAGACGUUCAUAAAUUUUUUUUUAUUCGUCUUUUCUUAUUGCCAAAUUCAUAUUAGAUGCACACGCAUCG